UUAGACAUGUUGGGUUGGGUCUUGAAAGUAUUGGGUCGGUUCAUUGGGCCGACCCAUUGGGUUGAUGAUAUCUUUAUUUGGGUCCUAUGGAGUUAUUGGGCCAAGACAGUGGGCCGAACUAUUGGAUAAGUAUGGUUCCACUUAGGCUUUGACCGGUGAUGAUUAUGGGGAUAGAACUUUGACUGUCAUAUCUGUCUUGUAUUUAAUAAAGAUUGGACAGGGCUUAGUCGGCUAAAGGCUGUGGGCCCGGAAAGUCAGUUGCAUACAGGACAAACCGGACUUUGGAGUAUAUGUUAG
RNAcentral lists this long non-coding RNA (297 nucleotides) under Panax ginseng (ginseng). RNAcentral's name for it is "long non-coding RNA (PGIN_LNC002117)". Lineage: Eukaryota; Viridiplantae; Streptophyta; Magnoliopsida; Apiales; Araliaceae. The record is from RNAcentral.